RNAcentral lists this unclassified non-coding RNA (236 nucleotides) under air metagenome. RNAcentral's name for it is "partial contains small subunit ribosomal RNA, internal transcribed spacer 1, and 5.8S ribosomal RNA". The stretch from base 1 to 46 matches the Rfam family "Eukaryotic small subunit ribosomal RNA", at positions 1786 to 1831 of the family's 1831-position model. The record is from RNAcentral.
AAGUCGUAACAAGGUUUCCGUAGGUGAACCUGCGGAAGGAUCAUUACAGUGUUCGCUGCCCUCACGGGUAGCAAACCUCACCCUUGUGUAUUAUAUCUUUGUUGCUUUGACACGCCGCCUUCGGGUACCGGCUCUGGCUGGCUCGUGUGUGUCAAAGGACCUAAAACUCUGAAUGUUAGUGUCGUCUGAGUACUAUCUAAUAGUUAAAACUUUCAACAACGGAUCUCUUGGUUCUG